Molecule: non-coding RNA, 265 nt
Organism: Pelobates cultripes (western spadefoot toad)
Lineage: Eukaryota; Metazoa; Chordata; Amphibia; Anura; Pelobatidae
Source: the annotation of a GenBank genome assembly
GAUCAGGAAAAAGCAGAAAUUUUAAAUAACGUUUUCUUCAAUAUAUAUUAAUGAGGAUCUUAUGGCAAGGGAAAUGCAAAUGAUUGCUGCAAAAAACUCGAGACAAGGUGCUACAGCUAUUAAAGAAAAUUAAUGUAAAUAAAGCUCCGGAGCCUGACGGUAUUCACCCACAAGUACUUAAGGAGCUAAGUGUGGAAAUAAGUGAACCUCUGUAUUUAAUUUUUCAAGAUUCUUUUGUUUCAGGUGUUGCACCGGAGGAUUGGAG